AGGACCAGCUUACACUGAGCUAUCAUGGCAUCCAACAAAUUUGUCAUUAAGAUAGCUAGCACCUUCUUUAAUGGAUUGGCUGUACUGUCCUCAGUAAAUUGAAAGUAGUAGAUCUCCACUUUAUUUAAAAAAUAAUAAUUAUUAAAAAAAACAAAACAACCUUACCAGAUCUUGCAGAAGACUUUCCAGAGGUUUUCAACUAAAGCAAGAGCUUUACAAAAGAUGCUGAUGUGUUGUACUAAAUUACAGCUUGUGAAGAGAACAAAGAAUAGCUUCCUUCUGAGAAAUAUAACCCUCUGUUUACUUUUGGGAAAGCUUUAUGUAAUUUUUUAAUCAGUAAACAUUUGGAUGUUUGCAUGUUUUAAUGCUCAUUUUGAAAACUUUAAAUCUCAAUGUUUGUAAUAUUGGCUAUCUGGUAUUCAUUUUAAUAUAAUAGGUUAUUUCAUGCUGUUUUUCUUUAUAUUCAUGCUUGUGAUACUGAAAUUAUAAGACCACACACAAGGCAGUAAAGUCGCCACUUAAGCGUGUAAACAGUCUGACUUUUUACAAAGUGGAAAAAUAUUUCUUGUGUGCUAUUUUAACAUGAUCAGCAUGUUAAGGCUCAAUGUGCAACUGUGUCAACAUUUCUUUGGCUGUAACCAUUAAUUCUGUAGCCUCUUGAUAAUAUGUAAAAUGUGAAACUGGUUUGUUUACAGUUGGGAUUUGUCAGCAAUUACUGUCUGCAUUGAGCUUAGCUCUUUCAAAUAGAUAAUAGAUCAAAGAAGAUUUUCUUUUUUAGAAUCAUCAUUCUAGUUUUAGUAAAACUAGAGAUUUCUUGGUUUUGUUUUUCAGCUGCCUUUAGGUUCUUUAAAAAUAUGUUAGAGCCAUACAUUUCAUGAAUGUUGUUCUCACAUAAAUUGUAGGCAGAGUUAAAAAUGCAUCACAUAAGAACCUGUAGCUUCAAUUUGUAAAAAAUUUAGCUACAGAGAUGGGAACAUACAUUUCUUUCAGGCCUCAUUUAUCUCUAGAUCUGAUGUGGCUUCACCCCAGCUAGGGUUUUGUUGGUUUUUUUU
Non-coding RNA from Meleagris gallopavo (turkey), 1052 nucleotides. The record is from RefSeq and is a predicted model, not a curated record. Lineage: Eukaryota; Metazoa; Chordata; Aves; Galliformes; Phasianidae.